RNAcentral lists this unclassified non-coding RNA (2985 nucleotides) under Neodiprion pinetum (white pine sawfly). RNAcentral's name for it is "uncharacterized LOC124223419, transcript variant X5". The record is from RNAcentral. Lineage: Eukaryota; Metazoa; Arthropoda; Insecta; Hymenoptera; Diprionidae.
GCGCAACGCGGCGGCGCAGUUCGUCUUUUUCUGAAAACAAGAGAGGGCACGGAACGUUGCGAGCAUCGACAGUUCGGUUAGAAAUCCGAGAUAAUCUUACUUUUUAUUUCGAUCUUCCACGGCUGGACAAGGUACUUGAUUUUGAUUGACUUCGAGCGUCUUUUGACGGCAUCCAUUUUUAACCGAGCCGAUGCUAGUUCAGUCUGAUAAUUCGGAAUUUUCCGAUCAGACUACCUACAUAACCUCAAUUUUCACAGCGAGAUGCUGCUGAUAGAAGUAGACACAACGUUGAUAGAUAUUUGAGUGAUUACGUCACGGUUCAACCUCGAAAUGGCUCGGUCUUUCACCUACGACAGGCCUCUGGAUGUCAAAAUAAUACCCGUUUCCGAGAAUUCGAAUCACGAGUUUCAGUGCAGAUUCCUAGAUCUCGCCUUUGCAACGUGACAGAAAAGUUCAAGAACCAUGGAUUUUGGACUAUAACUGUGGAUUUUUGUUGUCAACGUUCAUAAUUGUGUCGACAUCCGAACAAUUCGCAUCAUCCACGUAGUACUCACGCAGUGUGUCCAUAUGGUGUAUCAUACUUGGAGUCUUAGCCACACAAAAGGUGCCGUGCAGUGCGAACGGAAUACAUUGGCUGGAUAAAAACUGGGGAAGCGUUUGAACGAGCAAAUGGAUGGGCAUGUAAAUCUCGUUUGAUAAAUGUGAACAAUUUAUAAACGAGCUGCAGAAAACUACCCAUAUAUGUAUAUUACAGCCGCUCGUUCUCGUCGAGAUGUGGAGAGGUAGGCAACAAAGCCAUGCUGUAUUUGGGUGUUGGCUAUCUAUAAUACCAAAUACAUCGACGAACAUCAAAAGUGAAAAUUACUGUAUUACGAUUGCUUAUAUCGUAUACCACAGUUGGAUUUUUGAGACGAAGGAAAUUCUUAAUAUGUUAAUAAUCAAGUAGUCAGUACACAUAUACAUAUAGUUGGAAUUUUUCUUCACCACCCAGCAACAAUGUAAUCGGAGAAUUUUUUGGGCCUGCCUUUAGUUUGAACCACCAAGGCCGAGUAACCUACAGUGGAUACGGAUACGGAAACAGCUACAAGAUGUUUGUAACAUUUGAUAAGAGAAGAAGAGCCUCUCACGUACACGAAACUUAAUAGCAUCUAAUUUCCGACUCAGCCAGCAGAGGUUGUCAUCUCGACAUAUUGCGCCAUUCGGUUGAGAAGAUCGGAGAUCCCACGCUUUGUAAGCCUUAGCGUGGUUCACGUGUGAUAUACUUAGGAACAAUUUCAGGCUCGGAUUGGGGGUAAUAAAUUGAAUUUAUAUUGAUUAAGUAUGUGUACGGUUGAAUAUCGAAUUCCAUUGAAAAAUUCUGAAACUUAGAAAUUAAAACUCAUAAUAUUCGAAAUAUUUCUAUACAUAUUUUGUGUUCUGGUUCUGUUUGAUUGAAUGAAUUUUAAUUUUUACAUUUUCAAAAUCUCAAAGACGAUCUUGCUGUUUUUCUGUUCAAUUUUUCCUAAUCUUUACCGUGCUCUUACUAUAUAUAACCCCUCAUCAUUUUCUUAUGCAUCAUUGAUAAUUUUUCUCUUUUCUGUAACUCUACUUAAAUCUAAUCGUAUAGUAUCUAAGCGAAAGAAUAAGAGAAGAGGUAAAAAAAGGUGAACAUCUCCAAACACUCUCCACCAAUCCUACACUGACAUAUGCUUUGACACCUGUGUACACAUGCCCUAAGUCAAAUACGUUACUAUGAUUAUACAUGUAAAUUAAAACCUCGAUUUAACGGUCAGUAAUGGGACCAGCUCUGUAUGGCACCUUGUUAAAUCGAGGUUGCGUAGGCGUCUCUUAUGCUGUAUUUUAAUAUCGGCUAUAUAUAGGCAAGCAUGCUACGGUCCUGAACGUGGAGACCAAAAGCGACCCCGACUAUAUCCCAUCACUUGGCAAACCAAUUGAUAAAUGUGACAUGGCGGGAACUGUGGCUUUGAUUAAAGACCGUUAAGACGAGGUCGUAGUGUAUGUUCAUUUUAUGAAUAUAUAUUGAAAAGUAUUAGAUACAUAUAUAGCUUUAUGGCAAACAGCAAAAUAAACUAAUGAGAAAUGUAACUUACGAUAUCGUAAAUAUUUCUGCGGGAAAUGGUGAAAAUUUAAAGUAUCGAGAUGAACUAAACAUUGAUAAACCAAGCCAGUCGUUAUUAAUUUUUCCAAAUGUUUCACUGACGACCCUUCCUGAGGUAAACAGGUGUGCAUGCUGCCAAACAGUACCGACUUUGCAGUCAAUCUACCAAUCGAGAUCUAUAUUCAUACCCCCUCAUGCGUUCAGAUGGUCCUUUAUCAAGUCAAGCAGUUAAUUCCAAGUACAAGGAGCAUUAGACGAGCGUUCGCAAGCUCUUUUGAAUACGCAGGCAUGAUGAAAGACACGUGCAAUCAGCAUCAAAAAGUGAAGAUUUUGAUGAUUUUGAAUGAUGCUGGAAUCAAUUCGUCGUUGCACUUUAUCGAAGUGAUUUUUGGAAGGGAACCCGUUCUACAAAGCCUUGACUCGCUGCGAACAACGGAUCCAAAGUAACGGCCGUAAAACAUACCAUUUACACCGAGCUUUCGAAGAGGUGGCAAGGAAAGAUAACAAAUUCGAAGAUAUGUGGUUUUAACUUCCACCUACUUUCAGUUUAUUCAGUAUGCCUUAAUUCUAGUACAAGUGUUCGGGUGUCAGUGUGUCAUACUUCAAUAAGAUGCCAAAAAGUAUCGAGAGAAAGAACAAAAAAAUAUGCAAUAAUAAAAUUAGCUAUUUCAUGGAAUAUCAGACUAUACAUAUACUAGAUAGGAGAGAUGCGAUGUACACUACGUUAAGGAGCGUACAGUAACAUAUAAGAUAGUUUUUAUUGUCAUUUGUCAGUAUACUUAUAGUUCUGUGAUGCGUACUGGUGCAUGGCACCUCUGCAUAAUAUGACGAUAUAUUGUAUUGUUGCUAUUGUAUAAUACGCAGAUUGCAAUAAACAAAUCAGUAAA